Molecule: ribosomal RNA, 262 nt
Filed under: uncultured bacterium
Lineage: Bacteria
Description: partial 16S ribosomal RNA
Rfam family: Bacterial small subunit ribosomal RNA
Source: RNAcentral
GGGCCUAGGGGCGCAGCAGUGGGGAAUAUUGGUCAAUGGGCGAGAGCCUGAACCAGCCAAGUCGCGUGAGGGAAGACGGUCCUAUGGAUUGUAAACCUCUUUUGCCGGGGAGCAAAAAGCGGUACGUGUACCGCAUCGAGAGUACCCGGAGAAAAAGCAUCGGCUAACUCCGUACCAGCAGCCGCGGUAAUACGGAGGAUGCGAGCGUUAUCCGGAUUUAUUGGGUUUAAAGGGUGCGCAGGCGGCGAGUUAAGUCAGCGGU